GUGCGGGAACGGAAGACUCCGGGCCAUGGACUGCGCGGUAUGGAGGAUGGAUGGAACGAGUCUCCAGCUCCUCCGGGCCUCCCAGCAAAGCCCACGUCAGCCUCUCCAUCGACUCACUUCUGGCAGCAAGUAACAAGCGUUCAGUCCAAGGUCCCGGGUCCAAGUGGACAUCGAUGCUGGUUUAGUGAGCACGACAAUUUUCCACACACUUUGCCGCAUUUAGAUGCUGCUGAAGACGACAAGAGGCACUUACCGCUGCAGGCCACAGUAACCUGGAGCUCAGCACCUCUGCAAUGAACGCACUGAGAGAAAAGCUGGAAAGAAAGGGAUUGCUGGGUAAAGACAGAAGCCAAGGACACCGGUAGGACCCACUGCUACCUGCAACCUCAGCAC
Long non-coding RNA from Scleropages formosus (Asian bonytongue), 393 nucleotides. RefSeq lists it as uncharacterized. The transcript has 3 exons. The record is from RefSeq and is a predicted model, not a curated record. Lineage: Eukaryota; Metazoa; Chordata; Actinopteri; Osteoglossiformes; Osteoglossidae.